RNAcentral lists this long non-coding RNA (858 nucleotides) under Helianthus annuus (common sunflower). Its description in RNAcentral is "hypothetical non coding rna". Lineage: Eukaryota; Viridiplantae; Streptophyta; Magnoliopsida; Asterales; Asteraceae. The record is from RNAcentral.
UCACAACACGCUUCUUCCCUUCCGGCCACCACUCCGACGACAUCAAAACGGCGUCGGAGAAGAAGAAUAUUAUUCAUACCACCGAGAGAGAGAGAGAGACGAAGGUGUAAUUACAGUUUCCAUUCACUUCUCCACCAGAGUUUCACUUCAACUCUGAUUUUCAUCGGUUCAAUUAAGGGCAAAAUCUGGUAAGAAGCAAUCAUUAGAAGAUAUGCUGGUGGCAAAAUUGCACAUUCUGCAAUGAGGUUGCCUUAAAUAAGGGUGUCAGUUAAGUAAAUCGGUAUAUCUCAAUCGCUGCGUCGAUUGUUUCACGCAGGUUCAAUAUGUAUAAGUAGGGAACGAUUGUCAAACGUCAUUCAGUAAUCAGAAAUUUAAUGGAAAAGGCUAUAGUCUGCAGGCCCAUCAUCUCUCGUAUCCCCUGCAUCAAUUAACACAAGACACUACUAACGGCACCAAGUUUUACGGCUUGACAAAUGAUAGAUAGAUAUGGAGUAAGGACGAAAGCUGGUAAGAAGCAAUCAUCAGAAGAUGCUGGUGUCAAAAUUGUACAUUCUGCAUGAGCUUUAAUUCGAUGGCACAAUGAACUUGCCUUAAAUAAGUGGGACAGGUAAAAGUGCUAUACGAUGAAAUACGACUUCGUUCACACCUCACUGACCGGUGGAUACAGUUAGACUAUGAUCUGUAACGCCAGUAUGUAGAGGUUACCUAAUUUGAUGCUGAUUAUAUUAAACGGACAUUUGAAAUUUAGUGACGUUAUAUGACUGGGUUAUUAAAUUACUGUUCAUUCUUAUGCUGUCAGUUUACUGUUUCAUUGUUUCUGAUGUUCUAUCAAACUCUGCAUUUUGAUAUAAGAUUCUU